Molecule: ribosomal RNA, 1485 nt
Filed under: Porphyromonas sp. canine oral taxon 401
Lineage: Bacteria; Pseudomonadati; Bacteroidota; Bacteroidia; Bacteroidales; Porphyromonadaceae
Description: bacterial SSU rRNA
Rfam family: Bacterial small subunit ribosomal RNA
Source: RNAcentral
GAGUUUGAUCCUGGCUCAGGAUGAACGCUAGCGAUAGGCUUAACACAUGCAAGUCGAGGGGCAUCAUGGCAGAAGCUUGCUUUUGCUGAUGGCGACCGGCGCACGGGUGCGUAACGCGUAUGUAACUUGCCUGUCAGUGGGGGAUAACCCGGAGAAAUCCGGACUAAUACCGCAUACACUUGUUAUCUCGCCUGAGAUUUCAAGGAAAGAGUUUUGCUGACAGAUAGGCAUGCGUUCCAUUAGCUAGUUGGUGAGGUAACGGCUCACCAAGGCUACGAUGGAUAGGGGGACUGAGAGGUUGACCCCCCACACUGGUACUGAGAUACGGACCAGACUCCUACGGGAGGCAGCAGUGAGGAAUAUUGGUCAAUGGGCGAAAGCCUGAACCAGCCAAGUCGCGUGAAGGACGACGGUUCUAUGGAUUGUAAACUUCUUUUGUAUGGGAUUAAAAGCCGCUACGUGUAGUGGAAUUGCAGUUACUGUACGAAUAAGCAUCGGCUAACUCCGUGCCAGCAGCCGCGGUAAUACGGAGGAUGCGAGCGUUAUCCGGAUUUAUUGGGUUUAAAGGGUGCGUAGGUGGUCCGGAAAGUCAGGGGUGAAAAGCUGCAGCUCAACUGUAGUCUUGCCUUUGAAACUUCCGAGCUUGAGUGUAGAAAAGGUAUGCGGAAUGCGUGGUGUAGCGGUGAAAUGCAUAGAUAUCACGCAGAACUCCGAUUGCGAAGGCAGCAUGCCGGGCUAUUACUGACGCUGAAGCACGAAAGCGUGGGUAGCGAACAGGAUUAGAUACCCUGGUAGUCCACGCAGUAAACGAUGAAUACUAGGUUUGUGCGAUAUAAUGUAUGAGCCUAAGCGAAAGCGAUAAGUAUUCCACCUGGGGAGUACGCCGGCAACGGUGAAACUCAAAGGAAUUGACGGGGGCCCGCACAAGCGGAGGAACAUGUGGUUUAAUUCGAUGAUACGCGAGGAACCUUACCCGGGAUUGAAAUGUAGUAGACGGAUUGUGAGAGCGAUCUUUCCUUCGGGACUGCUAUGUAGGUGCUGCAUGGUUGUCGCCAGCUCGUGCCGUGAGGUGUCGGCUUAAGUGCCAUAACGAGCGCAACCCGCAUUGAUAGUUACUAACAGGUUAAGCUGAGGACUCUAUUGAUACAGCCGUCGUAAGACGUGAGGAAGGAGCGGAUGACGUCAAAUCAGCACGGCCCUUACAUCCGGGGCGACACACGUGUUACAAUGGCAGGGACAAAGAGCAGCUACCGGGCGACCGGAUGCGAAUCUCUAAACCCUGUCCCAGUUCGGAUCGGAGUCUGCAACUCGACUCUGUGAAGCUGGAUUCGCUAGUAAUCGCGCAUCAGCCAUGGCGCGGUGAAUACGUUCCCGGGCCUUGUACACACCGCCCGUCAAGCCAUGGGAGUCGGGAGUACCUGAAGAAUGUACCCGCAAGGGGCGUUUAAGGGUAAUACCGGUGACUGGGGCUAAGUCGUAACAAGG